Molecule: unclassified non-coding RNA, 404 nt
Filed under: Hevea brasiliensis (rubber tree)
Lineage: Eukaryota; Viridiplantae; Streptophyta; Magnoliopsida; Malpighiales; Euphorbiaceae
Source: RNAcentral
AAAAAAAAAAAAAAAAGAAAGUUUCGAGAAUUUGUUUCACUCGCUAUGUCCCAACAAUUCUGUUUGUGUUAACUUGAGAUUCAUUCUCCCCCAAGAUUCUUAGCGUGCCAAAGUCAGAUAUUUUUGGGUUAAUGUUACUAACCAGCAAAACACUGCUGGUUUUUACAUCUCUGUGAAUGACUCUUAACUUGUAGUACUGAUGGAGGUAAAGAAGCCUUGAGCAAUCCCUUCAAUAAUGCAGAACCUCUUUUCCAGUCUAGUGAAGAUCUUUCUGUUGAAUUUAUAUCAUAAAUUAAUUGCAUAACAAUAUUAAAAAUAAAUCUAGAAAUUACAAAGAUAUGAAUAGGAAAAACACAAGGUAGCUAAUUAACUAACCAAAAAUGGAGUCCAGGGUUUUGUUAGGC